RNAcentral lists this ribosomal RNA (1540 nucleotides) under uncultured Gammaproteobacteria bacterium. Its description in RNAcentral is "bacterial SSU rRNA". It matches the Rfam family "Bacterial small subunit ribosomal RNA". The record is from RNAcentral. Lineage: Bacteria; Pseudomonadati; Pseudomonadota; Gammaproteobacteria.
AGAGUUUGAUCCUGGCUCAGAUUGAACGCUGGCGGCACGCUUAACACAUGCAAGUCGGACGAGUGAGUAGAUUUGGGAUUUAUUCCAUAUUUACGAGCUAGUGGCGGACGGGUGAGUAAUGCGUAGGAACCUGCCCUGAAGAGGGGGAUAACCCGGGGAAACUCGGGCUAAAACCGCAUAAUCUCUGAGGAGCAAAGCUGCCUUACCAACUUAAUGUAUUUUUUAAUUAAGAUAUAUUAAGUGGUAAGGUGGUGCUUUAGGAGGGGCCUACGUUGGAUUAGCUUGUUGGUAGGGUAAAGGCCUACCAAGGCGAUGAUCUAUAGCUGGUCUGAGAGGAUGAUCAGCCACACUGGGACUGAGACACGGCCCAGACUCCUACGGGAGGCAGCAGUGGGGAAUAUUGGACAAUGGGGGCAACCCUGAUCCAGCGAUGCCGCGUGUGUGAAGAAGGCCUGCGGGUUGUAAAGCACUUUUAAUGGUGAGGAAUAGGGCAUUAUAAAUAGUAAUGUCUAAUGACGUUAGCCAUAGAAUAAGCACCGGCAAACUCUGUGCCAGCAGCCGCGGUAAUACAGAGGGUGCGAGCGUUAAUCGGAAUGACUGGGCGUAAAGGGCACGUAGGCGGUUUAUCAAGUUAGAUGUGAAAUACCAGGGCUUAACCUUGGGGCUGCAUCUAAGACUGAUGAACUAGAGUUCACUAGAGGGGAGUGGAAUUUCCGGUGUAGCGGUGAAAUGCGUAGAUAUCGGAAGGAACACCAGUGGCGAAGGCGACUCUCUGGAGUUGAACUGACGCUGAGGAGCGAAAGCGUGGGUAGCGAACAGGAUUAGAUACCCUGGUAGUCCACGCUGUAAACGAUGAGAACUAGCUGUUGGUACGCGACGACGUAUAAGUAGCGCAGUUAACGCGAUAAGUUCUCCGCCUGGGGAUUACGGCGCAAGGCUAAAACUCAAAGGAAUUGACGGGCCCGCACAAGCGGUGGAGCAUGUGGUUUAAUUCGAUGCAACGCGAAGAACCUUACCUACUUUGACAUCUAUGGAUCCUGUAGAGAUAUUGGAGUGCCAGAAAUGGAGCCAUAAGACAGGUGCUGCAUGGCUGUCGUCAGCUCGUGUCGUGAGAUGUUGGGUUAAGUCCCGUAACGAGCGCAACCCCUAUCCUUAGUUACCAGCGCGUAAUGGCGGGGACUCUAAGGAGACUGCUGGUGAUAAGCCGGAGGAAGGUGGGGAUGACGUCAAGUCAUCAUGGCCUUUAUAAGUAGGGCUACACACGUGCUACAAUGGGCAGUACAGAGGGAGGCAAGGCCGUAAGGUGGAGCGGAACUCAGAAAGCUGUUCGUAGUCCGGAUUGGAGUCUGCAACUCGACUCCAUGAAGUUGGAAUCGCUAGUAAUCGCGAAUCAGAAUGUCGCGGUGAAUACGUUCCCGGGCCUUGUACACACCGCCCGUCACACCAUGGGAGUGGGUUGUACCAGAAGUGGUUAGACUAACCUUCGGGAAGUCGAUCACCACGGUAUGAUUCAUGACUGGGGUGAAGUCGUAACAAGGUA